RNAcentral lists this ribosomal RNA (486 nucleotides) under uncultured bacterium. RNAcentral's name for it is "bacterial SSU rRNA". It matches the Rfam family "Bacterial small subunit ribosomal RNA", at positions 501 to 987 of the family's 1533-position model. The record is from RNAcentral.
CUACGUGCCAGCAGCCGCGGUAAUACGUAGGGUGCGAGCGUUAAUCGGAAUUACUGGGCGUAAAGCGAGCGCAGACGGUUACUUAAGCAGGAUGUGAAAUCCCCGGGCUUAACCUGGGAACUGCAUUGGUGACUGCAAGGCUAGAGUGUGUCAGAGGGAGGUGGAAUUCCGCAUGUAGCAGUGAAAUGCGUAGAUAUGCGGAGGAACACCGAUGGCGAAGGCAGCCUCCUGGGAUAACACUGACGCUCAUGCACGAAAGCGUGGGGAGCAAACAGGAUUAGAUACCCUGGUAGUCCACGCCCUAAACGAUGUCUACUAGUUGUCGGGGAUUAAUUUCCUUGGUAACGCAGCUAACGCGUGAAGUAGACCGCCUGGGGAGUACGGUCGCAAGAUUAAAACUCAAAGGAAUUGACGGGGACCCGCACAAGCGGUGGAUGAUGUGGAUUAAUUCGAUGCAACGCGAAAAACCUUACCUACGCUUGACAU